UUUGAUCCUGGCUCAGGACGAACGCUGGCGGCGUGCCUAAUACAUGCAAGUCGAGCGGACAGAUGGGAGCUUGCUCCCUGAAGUCAGCGGCGGACGGGUGAGUAACACGUGGGCAACCUGCCUGUAAGACUGGGAUAACUCCGGGAAACCGGGGCUAAUACCGGAUAAUUCUUUCCCUCACAUGAGGGAAAGCUGAAAGAUGGUUUCGGCUAUCACUUACAGAUGGGCCCGCGGCGCAUUAGCUAGUUGGUGAGGUAACGGCUCACCAAGGCAACGAUGCGUAGCCGACCUGAGAGGGUGAUCGGCCACACUGGGACUGAGACACGGCCCAGACUCCUACGGGAGGCAGCAGUAGGGAAUCUUCCGCAAUGGACGAAAGUCUGACGGAGCAACGCCGCGUGAGUGAUGAAGGUUUUCGGAUCGUAAAACUCUGUUGUUAGGGAAGAACAAGUACCGGAGUAACUGCCGGUACCUUGACGGUACCUAACCAGAAAGCCACGGCUAACUACGUGCCAGCAGCCGCGGUAAUACGUAGGUGGCAAGCGUUGUCCGGAAUUAUUGGGCGUAAAGCGCGCGCAGGCGGUUCCUUAAGUCUGAUGUGAAAGCCCCCGGCUCAACCGGGGAGGGUCAUUGGAAACUGGGGAACUUGAGUGCAGAAGAGAAGAGUGGAAUUCCACGUGUAGCGGUGAAAUGCGUAGAGAUGUGGAGGAACACCAGUGGCGAAGGCGACUNUUGGUCUGUAACNGACGNNA
RNAcentral lists this ribosomal RNA (752 nucleotides) under Cytobacillus oceanisediminis. RNAcentral's name for it is "bacterial SSU rRNA". It matches the Rfam family "Bacterial small subunit ribosomal RNA", at positions 12 to 748 of the family's 1533-position model. Lineage: Bacteria; Bacillati; Bacillota; Bacilli; Caryophanales; Bacillaceae. The record is from RNAcentral.